This 253-nucleotide ribosomal RNA is filed under the name uncultured bacterium. RNAcentral's name for it is "partial 16S ribosomal RNA". It matches the Rfam family "Bacterial small subunit ribosomal RNA", at positions 524 to 776 of the family's 1533-position model. The record is from RNAcentral.
UACGUAGGGUGCAAGCGUUGUCCGGAAUUAUUGGGCGUAAAGAGCUCGUAGGCGGUUUGUCGCGUCGGCUGUGAAAACCUGAGGCUCAACCUCGGGCCUGCAGUCGAUACGGGCAAACUAGAGUUCGGUAGGGGAGACUGGAAUUCCUGGUGUAGCGGUGAAAUGCGCAGAUAUCAGGAGGAACACCGAUGGCGAAGGCAGGUCUCUGGGCAUUAACUGACGCUGAGGAGCGAAAGCAUGGGGAGCGAACAGG